GACGAACGCUGGCGGCGUGCUUAACACAUGCAAGUCGAACGGAAAGGCCCUGCUUGCAGGGUACUCGAGUGGCGAACGGGUGAGUAACACGUGGGUGAUCUGCCCUGCACUUCGGGAUAAGCCUGGGAAACUGGGUCUAAUACCGGAUAGGAGCCAUUUUUAGUGUGAUGGUUGGAAAGUUUUUUCGGUGUAGGAUGAGCUCGCGGCCUAUCAGCUUGUUGGUGGGGUAAUGGCCUACCAAGGCGGCGACGGGUAGCCGGCCUGAGAGGGUGGACGGCCACAUUGGGACUGGGAUACGGCCCAGACUCCUACGGGAGGCGGCGGUGGGGAAUAUUGCUCUAUGGGCGCGAGCCUGAUGCAGCGACGCCGCGGGGGGGAUGACGGCCUUCGGGUUGUAAACUCCUUUCGCUAGGGACGAAGCUUUUUGUGACGGUACCUAGAUAAGAAGCACCGGCUAACUACGUG
This 465-nucleotide ribosomal RNA is filed under the name uncultured bacterium. RNAcentral's name for it is "partial 16S ribosomal RNA". It matches the Rfam family "Bacterial small subunit ribosomal RNA", at positions 28 to 507 of the family's 1533-position model. The record is from RNAcentral.